RNAcentral lists this ribosomal RNA (619 nucleotides) under uncultured Pedobacter sp. Its description in RNAcentral is "bacterial SSU rRNA". It matches the Rfam family "Bacterial small subunit ribosomal RNA", at positions 88 to 705 of the family's 1533-position model. Lineage: Bacteria; Pseudomonadati; Bacteroidota; Sphingobacteriia; Sphingobacteriales; Sphingobacteriaceae. The record is from RNAcentral.
CUUGAGACCGGCGCACGGGUGCGUAACGCGUAUGCAACCUACCUUUAUCUGGGGGAUAGCCCGGAGAAAUCCGGAUUAAUACCGCAUAAAAUCACAGUAUUGCAUAAUACAAUGAUCAAACAUUUAUGGGAUGAAGAUGGGCAUGCGUGUCAUUAGCUAGUUGGCGGGGUAACGGCCCACCAAGGCGACGAUGACUAGGGGAUCUGAGAGGAUGACCCCCCACACUGGUACUGAGACACGGACCAGACUCCUACGGGAGGCAGCAGUAAGGAAUAUUGGUCAAUGGAGGCAACUCUGAACCAGCCAUGCCGCGUGCAGGAAGACUGCCCUAUGGGUUGUAAACUGCUUUUAUCCGGGAAUAAACCUAUUUACGAGUAAAUAGCUGAAUGUACCGGAAGAAUAAGGAUCGGCUAACUCCGUGCCAGCAGCCGCGGUAAUACGGAGGAUCCAAGCGUUAUCCGGAUUUAUUGGGUUUAAAGGGUGCGUAGGCGGCCCGUUAAGUCAGGGGUGAAAGACGGUAGCUCAACUAUCGCAGUGCCUUUGAUACUGACGGGCUUGAAUGAACUAGAGGUAGGCGGAAUGAGACAAGUAGCGGUGAAAUGCAUAGGUAUGUCUCAGA